GCCCAGAGAUCUUUUCAUCCCUGCCUCUCCUUCGCUUUGCUGCUGCCGACGACGUCAGGAACAUCUGCCGCGUCCGAUUCGAUCCCAACCGAGGGUCCCCCCGGCGGCUAUCCAUGGUAGAGGCGCCCAGCUCAUCCGAAGAUGCGCCCAAUCCAUCUGCUCCAGAACAGAGAGUAUGGGGAGAAUCUCAUGGGGCUGCUGCACCACACGGGGUCAAACAAGAUUGUAGUGCUCUGCCAUGGCUUGGGCUUCCAAGUGCUUGUUUUCAGAACAAUGGAAUCAUUGUUGAUCUUGCGGCUGCAGUAACAAAGCGUGGGAUUAGUGUGUUUCGCUUUGGUUUCAGUGGAAAUGGUUAAGUCAAUAAUGAACCCUUCAUUUCAGCAAUUGCUUUUAUUUUUUUUCUAAGGAAGCCUUGAAGUGGAAAUGUUGAACUAAAUUAGCUAAGCUUCCUAAUUGUAUGUAUUACCACAGUACGGCUUGAGUUUGUGAUUACAUUUCUCUUAGACGUGCAUGAUUUUCCAAAUAAAUAAACAUAGUAAAUUAGUAAAAACAAUUAUUAAUUUCUAUCUCAACAUUCUUUACUGCAUCAAUUUGUUUGAAGUCAUAUUGUCUACUACAUUAUAUUGCAGAAUCUUUAUUUCUCAGAGAAAUAAACAUAGUACAUUAGUAAAAACAAUUAUUAUAUUCUUUAUUGCAUCCAAUUGUUUGAAUUCAUAUUGUCUAGUACAUUAUAUUGCAGAAUCUUUCUUUAGUUUUGAAUGAUAGCAGUCCAUCACCUUAUUUUAUAUGAUGCCUUUGAUUGUAUGCUUUUCAGAGAGAGCGAUGGUAAAUUCCAGUAUGGUAUGUACAGGAAGGAGGCUGAUGACCUGCAUUCUGUUGUUUCAUAUCUUUACUGGGAGAAAUAUGACGUAGCAGCACUUGUUGGUCACAACAAAUAUGGGUUCAAUCAUAGGUUGGUUUAUUAUAAUCCUGGAAUUCAUUAUUUAUGUUAUUGAGUUGCAGAGUACUUCAACCGGUACAGUUAUCCUUGCUUUUUAUUCCAAAUUCAAUUGGCUAUGGUUGUGAGGUGUGUUUUAUGCCAUAUUAUUGAAUGACAAUGUAUGGUUUUUUUGGCUCGCUUUACUGGAUCCAUAAUUCCAAAUUGUUCAGUGUUACAGUUCAAUGCUUUACCUUCAUUUACAUAGCAUAAUGGUGUUCAGAUAGUGCAAUGCUGUAGCAAUUUUGAUAGACAUUUGUCGGCUUGCACACAUUAUUGACCAUUCAUAAUCUUGAGUGAUAUAGUAGUUUCAUAAUCUUGUACGCAUUACUUGCCAACAAUUUUGACAGAAAUAGCAUACUAUAAUUGUAGAACUGUGGAUCAAUUAAUAGAUUGAUCUUUCAUGUGACUUCUGCAUUCUCCUGUUGCUAAUCUUUUCAAGCACUACAUCAGAUUCACAUGGCAAUAGUGAACAUGCAUGGUAGACUAUAGCUAAUCCUAGAAAAAACUCAACCGACUGCUUUUCAUGCCUGAUUUUACUCCUAUUCCUAUGCUAAUUGGAAAUUGACGAAGGCAAGUAUCGGUAACCUGUUUUCCAUAUAUGAAAAAGCUUAGAAAUGUUACUUCUCUUUUUUCUUCUUCAAAGCUAUGGUAUAAGAAGUUGACAAUUGAUGAACACUAACCACUUCAUCUUAUAGACCGACGCAACCCAAUUGCCCUGCUUACGAGGUAUAGUGUCUAAAGCUUUAGUAGAUAAGAAAUCAUUUUAUCUUCCCGUUACAUUGUAAGAUAAUAAAUAAAUUAUUAAUAGAUGCAGCCAUGUGAGAAACCUUAAAAAUUGUAAAUCCUUCUCAUUAGUUGUAGCUAAUGUUGCAGUAGGUGAAACCAAAUUCCAUUUUUUUUCUCAGCAGUUGGGGUAUUUCUCCUUUCAGCAAAAAAAGAAUAAUUAUGAAGUGUAAAGGAAUCUAAGAUUGAAAAACAGAGGAUUUUCCUCCUUUUUAGUAUCAUACAUGACUAGAUUGUUUCUUAGUUCAAAACAUGCAUGGCAGUUUUGUUGGAUAUAUUACUGGAUGAUUUGACAUUUUCUGCUAAUUGAAGGCAGGGAUAUGCAAGCUGCAGCUGAUUGAUACAUGGCAUACCAGUGAAGAAAGAUUGAUUCCUUCAGUACGAUCAUUGUGUGUGUCUUUUGAUAUAUAAACUUGUUGUUGAUCCAUCAGUAAAUUUUUAGAUAGUCCUGAUUUGGUUCACCAGUAAAUGAGCUUUCUAUGUAUCAAGUUAUUUAUAGGAUGAAAUUGAGAUUUUUCCUGAAAAAACCCGCAAGUUGUUCUGUGCACAAAUGUUGAGGCAGUUCAAAUAGUUU
Molecule: RNA transcript, 2336 nt
Organism: Panicum hallii
Lineage: Eukaryota; Viridiplantae; Streptophyta; Magnoliopsida; Poales; Poaceae
Exons: 3
Source: RefSeq, a predicted model, not a curated record